Molecule: ribosomal RNA, 402 nt
Filed under: Triticum aestivum (bread wheat)
Lineage: Eukaryota; Viridiplantae; Streptophyta; Magnoliopsida; Poales; Poaceae
Description: partial small subunit ribosomal RNA
Source: RNAcentral
AUGGUCACCACAACUGUCCUGGCUCUGCCAGAUUUUGCGCGGCCGUUGACGAUCGAGACGGACGCCUGCGACACGGGCGUGGGCGUGGUGCUCGCACAGGAUGGGCACCCCGUUGCGUUCUUCAGCAAGGCUCUGGGCGUUCGCAACCAGAAGCUCUCCACCUACGAGAAGGAGUUCUUCGCCGUGAUGAUGGCCGUCGACAAGUGGCGUCAGUACUUGCAGCGCGGCCCCUUCGACAUCGUCACAGAUCACAAGUCUGUCUGUAACCUGGGCAAAAAACACCUGGAGACAGAGCUCCAGCGCAAGGCCAUGGCGAAGCUGGUGGGGUUACAAUUUCGCUUCCAGUACAGACGGGAGCUGGACAACGGCGCCGCCGACGCGCUCUCGCGCGUGGGCAAAUAG